GUAACCGGGGGAGCUACGGCUGAGAAAUCCAUACGGAUGACCCUUAUCACCUGAUCCGGGUAAUACCGGCGCAGGGAGGUAAAAU
This 85-nucleotide non-coding RNA is filed under the name bovine gut metagenome. RNAcentral's name for it is "TPP riboswitch (THI element)". It matches the Rfam family "TPP riboswitch aptamer (THI element)", at positions 6 to 96 of the family's 105-position model. From Rfam's summary of the family: Vitamin B(1) in its active form thiamin pyrophosphate (TPP) is an essential coenzyme that is synthesised by coupling of pyrimidine and thiazole moieties in bacteria. The previously detected thiamin-regulatory element, thi box was extended, resulting in a new, highly conserved RNA secondary structure, the THI element, which is widely distributed in eubacteria and also occurs in some archaea. Analysis of operon structures identified a large number of new candidate thiamin-regulated genes, mostly transporters, in various prokaryotic organisms. The record is from RNAcentral.